This 219-nucleotide unclassified non-coding RNA is filed under the name uncultured Tomentella. RNAcentral describes it as "sequence contains ITS2". Lineage: Eukaryota; Fungi; Basidiomycota; Agaricomycetes; Thelephorales; Thelephoraceae. The record is from RNAcentral.
ACACCUCAACUCUCAUGGCUUGCCAUGAUGAGCUUGGACUUUGGGGGUCUUGUUGGCCUGUGAGCCAGCUCCUCUUAAAUGAAUCAGCUUGCCAGUGUUUGGUGGCAUCACGAGUGUGAUAACUAUCUACGCUUGUGAUUUCCCACCAGGUAACCUUCAGCAAUGGAGGUUUGCUGGGGCUUACAAAUGUCUCUCCUCAGUGAAGACAUCUUUCUGAAC